CCUUCCGUGAAAGUGUUACCAAUUAUAGACUGUCGACCUUCCCAGAAUGUUGAGUAAUUGAAAUAAAUGGUAGCAGUGUAGUUAAUAGUCAAGAACUAAAAAAAAUCAUUGUAGACUACACUGUUUUUCUGAUUUUCUAAUCCGAAACUUCUGACGUUAGUUAAGCGACGAUUUAAAGUUUGCAAAUAAUAUUCAUAUUCCAAUUUUUUUUCCUUACAAUUGAAUUAAAUGUUUAUAAGAAGGAUGAUACUCUUACUUAUUGUUAUAGCUGUCAUUUCCCAGUACGUGAACACACUUAGCGUCAGGUCCUCUAUGACACAGGACAACAUCAAAGGUGAAAGCGCUAUUUUUUUCUGUACUUGGACUGCAGACGACACUGAGAAUCCAGAUGAACUGAUUGUGUCUUUGAGUGGACAAGACUACCUCAUAAAAUGUGGAAUUUCCCAUUUUCCUUACAACUGUACUGCAAAAAAUAACUAUGAAUUGAGUAAUUCUGCUCGAGGCCUGGUUUCAAUGUCAAUAAAUGGUUUAAGUUGUUCAAACCAAGGGAAAUACUUUUGUUCAAUACUAGAACAUUCUGAUGAGUUAAAACAGGAGAAAUCCGCUUCUUUCUUAAACUUUACAAAAGAUGAUAACGCUGAAUGCGGUCAAGAUGCUUUGAAUUCCAUUGGCAUACAGACGACGUUUGCACUGGCACUCUUUAUUUUACUAUGGGAGAAGAAUCUAUAAGGCCUACAUACUUGUCAUACCACACGGGUGAACACAUUAAAAUACUCACAUUUUAGUUAUGAACAAAAAUGGAAUUAGGAUCAACACAUUUUUGUAUUGCUUCAUAUAUCUCGUCAUUGUGAAUGGUCUAAUAUUAAAACAGAGCACGUUUGCUUGUGAUUUCGCUAAUGAAUAGAUGAGAAUGGGGAACAAGGAGACCAAAGAUAUAUAUAUUUACAUUUGUUAUUGAUCUACAAGUUACAUGUUGCAAAUUUUUUGUUUAUGGAAUAUCUUUUGUUUUUAUUUUAUACCUGUUUUUUUUUUAGUAUAAACUCUUUUUUUUUAAAUAGAUUUUUUAAAAUGGAUUUUGUUGUUAUGAAAAUAUAGUUCAGCGUGAAUUGGCUUAAAUCAGUGUUUCUCAAUUUUAUUUUUACCGGUGACGCCCCACUAUGUAAACAAAAUUUCGUUCGCGUCUCCACCACUUUUCAUUUAGACAGCGGGAAACUGGGAGACUCCCUGAGUGGGUUCUGGGGGGUGGGGGGGAGUUAAUGAUUUAAAAAACAAAAAAGGAAAGAAACGAGAAAAUAUUUAUAAUUACAACACAAUUUGUUUCAGGUCAUAGAACAAAACAAGUUUAUUUGUUUGUAUUCUAGUUCGUCCAUCGUGGUUCGAUGAUGACCACUUUUGUCAUCCAGGGGGCUGAGGGCUUUGCAUUUCAUGUGGCUGGAGAGACCUAUGUGAGCCCGGAAUGUUUGACUGCACGCUGGAGCUACUGUUAUUUGCCUUCCAUUUUUCUCUGGCGCUUUUCUUCUGCCAGCGCUGUUCUCUUGUCACUAGAAACUUGUGCGCCAGUUUUCACAGCGCGACGCCAUGAUGCUCUGACAUGUGCUUCUGUCUCCAAGGUGGCUGUUGUCUUUUUCCACCGUGUGAGCGCUUUCCUUUCCUUAAUUAGCCAUACAUGAGUAGUUUAGGGAUAAGGCUGUCUUCCAUUCUGCAGAUGUGUCCUGCCCUACCUUUUCUGCUCCAGACAUUUUUAGACAGUCUGCCAUAGGAUGCACUGGAGUUGGCAAUAAGCAGGUCGAUUUCAUUAUCGAUCUUUCUGUUUCUGGAGAUUGUGCUGCCAAGAUAGGUGAAUCUGUCCACUGCAUAUAUAUCAUUUCCAUUUAUUUUGAUACUUGGAUCUGAGUAGGCUUUCACUGGAGCAGGCAAAUAUAAGACUUCAUUUUUUUUGUGUUUAUAGUGAUGCCAAAGUCUGAACAGACUCUUGAAAAGUCUUUUUUCUGUAUGCUACAAAAGUGGAUGUCUUUACCAAAGCGGGUUGUGGGGCGCAUCACAGUUUUAGAAUCGUUGGCUUAAAUGAUUAUCUAAUUAAUGGUUCACUCGAAGAAGAGGUAAUAUAUACUGAUAACGUACACCGGGACCCUAUAGUGAUAUGGAUGGCUGCCUGGUCGUGCGGUUUGCGCGCUGGACUGUCGUUCGGAUUUAUCGACGGUCGAGGGUUCAAACCCUGCCCGCUCCCAUCCCCCGUCGUCCUGCGGGAGGUUUGGACUAGGAAGUAAACUAUCUUCAACUCUGAAGGAACAUCCGAAUUAUGUAAAACAUUUUACAAACAAACAAACAUGGAGUAGUAAAAAAAAAAAACAAUUAGAAUUGCCUGUUAAAUCUUCUUUUACAAAUAGUUAUAACUAGGUGCAAACGAAAUGCAUUCAUUAUUUUUACAAUACUUCUAUUCAAGUCAGAACUUCAUGGAACCUGGAAACUAGCCAGGAACCUGCAUGGACAGCUGAUCUCAAAGUGGCUCUAGCGAUUUUCCUAGAAAUUUAACAUUUGAAGUAUAUCGCCGAGAAAAGAAUUACUACGUUGGCCACACGGAGAAAACUCUGGUCUGACAGCUAUAUUUUUUAAAGUAAAUAAUUAAUUUAAAUUUGGCUAGAAAUCUACAGAGCUAGAUAAAGGUCUUGGUCCAAAAUCAGUAUUGAAACGACUUUUGCGUUCUUGAAAGGACUUUCAUUUUCGGGAAUUUCUCAACACAAGGCGCGUCAUGUUCUAGUUCUAGCUCUAAAAUGUUUAUCAUUGGAAUAUUAUAAAGUAUACUAGAUCUAUACCAUAGACUUAUAUAUACUAUAUCUAGACUGGACAUGGAGAUUUUUUAUCACUACAAAAAAUGUGAAAAUUUUUUAGAAAAUUCAAUCAAGGCGUUGUUUUGUAAAGUAGUUAAAAGCAGUUAAAGUGUUUUUUUUUCAACCCUAACCUAUGUAACACAUAAUUUAAUUUUAGAUCUAGAUCUAGUAAUUGAACAUAAUAAUUAUUAUUUUGCAAUUGGUAGAUACAUAAUCUAGACAGAUUUAGGUAAUCAAUCUAUUUAAAUGUGCAUAAGAUGAUUUAAAUCAACAUGAAUUAUUUCCAUCUAUGAUUUUUGAAACAUUUUCUCAAUGGAAACAGACAGGAAAUGGCUUAGUUUCAUAUUUGCGUGAAUAUCCGAGAAAUGAUUUUGCAUUAUUUCUAAGCUUUGAAAACUAAAGAUCAUUACUUUUCUAAGACAGAAAAGAUUGAUUGGGGCGACUGCCCUUAGAGACUGAAAAAAGAGUUUACGUGCAUAAAAAUCUCUCUAUAUAUAUAUAGGUCCGUGAAUCAAUCAGUCGCGGAUAAGAAUUUAUUUCCGGUUUCCAGUCUAGAUACAAUAUAUAAGUUUAUGAUCUAUACAUUUCGCGGUUAACAAUAAUUCUUUCUCGUGAGAAGGAGGGAAAGGGCGGGGUAAAAAAUGUAUCAUUGGUUAUUCAUUAAUUUUUAAUAGAAAAAAAAUAACGUCCUAUAAAUUGUAUAUAAAAAGUAUUGUUAAUGUUUUUCUUGUUUUAAAGAAAAAAAAAAUACAAAAACAAGUAAAAACAUUAACAAUACUUUUAAGAAAGACAAGACAGUGAGAGGCCAGCGAGCUAGUACUUCUAUUCUCAACAACAUCAACUGUUGAAUUUCUAUUUACCACAAACAGAGGGAAGAGCAAGAUGUUCAAGAUAAAAGGCGUCCAACACCACACCCAGUACUGUUCAAUGAGAGGCGCUGGAACAUGGAGGAACAUGUGCAGAUGUCAGAACCUGCAUUCGUAAAGCUCAACCAGCCUUCCAUCAGUUAAAGAACACUUGGGGAUCUAGGGAAAUAAGUACCACCACCAAGAAUAGGCUCUUUAACACUAUUGUUAAGUCAAUACUACUUUAUGGAGACGAGAUCUGGAGAACCACCAUCACCAACAUGAAAAAAAUCAAAAUAUUCAUCAAUACCUGUCUGAGGAAGAUUCUUAUGAUCCUCUGGCCAGACAUAACAAGGCAAGCCCUAACCUGGAACCCUCAAGGAAAGAGGAAGAGGGGGACGACACAGGAAUACAUGGCUGCGAUUGGGACGCAGAUGCCAAGCAGGCCGGAAAGACGUGGGGAAGUUGGACAGAAUCUCCCAGAACCGAGACGUCUGGAGGAAGCUAGUUGGCGGCCUAUGUCUCAGACGGGACCGCAGGCAGACAUGAGAGAUCUGAGAUGAUAUAAUCUUUUGGCACGCCAAUGAAAUAUUAACCCAAUUUUAGAUUUACACGAAAUGAGCAUUAAUUGAAUCAACUAAAUUAACUCAAGCAAAACAAGUAUCCAGAGUUUCUUUCCCAAAAUUAAAAUAAACAGAAGAAAAACUAGGUCUAGAAUUUACACAUUAAGAAUUUUUACUAGUAAGGUGCCCAAAAAGUCAAAAAUGUUAUUCCAGAAUAACUCCAAACCGAUAUAGAACACACACACUGACAAGACUGUCAAAUGACAAUAUAACCUUGGUGACUUGUUUAUGUUAAAGCACAACUUCUUGGAUCCGAUGACGCCAUCUGUAAAGUUUUCUUGAUCAAUCGUGAAUUGUUCACAUUGUAACUCGCAAAGCCAAUGCUCCAAAUAGUCAAAGGCGAACAACUCUCUCAGACCUACACCACAGCCACAAACAAUAUGGUUCAGAGAGUUUUCAAGCUCCAGCUUAGUAAAAUUUGCAAUGCCGUCCCAUUCUGGUGACUUUUCUUUAUUUAUAUCCAGAUCUGCUUCGCCGAGAUCAGCAUUAGAAUUCUCAUUUGAUAAAAUGAGGAGCUCUUUAUCCCUGGACAAAAUUAGGAUGAUUCGUAAUAACAUUUUUAAACUUUCUUGCACGACAAUUUUGUUGUUAGUCGGAAACAGAAAAUGAUCAUGUAUUAAAAUUUUCAAGGUAAAGAAAUAGUCCUUGAUCAUUGGAAAGUAAGAUAAACUAGAAGGGCGCCAUAACUUGACGGCGUUGAUGUUAGCGAAAUGUCGUAGAAAACAGAUGAAGACUUCACUGAAAUGUCCCAUAUUAUGAGCUUCGAGGCUUUUUUCGGGAAAUGCCAACUUUAUUACAUACAUAGAUAGCUCUUUUGUGGUGAUAUGUUCAGCGAAAUUGGAUUUAUAAUUAGUUAUUCUGCAAUUCACAUAUUUGGGCCCUUUUGUAGAUCCGUCUGUAACUUUACAUCCUAGCUCCGACCAUGGACUUGAUAUAUCUGAAGAUUUGAAUGAUAAGUAAUUUACAGUUGAUGUAACGGAUAUAGGAAAAUCUAGACUAUUAUGGUAGAUAGCAAGAGAAUUCUUAGAUCUACAUUUUGCACAAUAUGGAGCUAGACUCGCUUUCUCUGAGAUUUCUGAGCUCUCGUUCUGACACAAGAGAAGUCUGACUUCUUCAUCAUGAGGCCGUGCAAAGAGAAGUUGUUGAUACUGUACUAUAACAUAGAUAUAUGACUGCAUCUUUUCAAUCGCCAGAUCUUUCAUAUACGCUUUCCAGAUCAAAGGUUUUGAAUACUUCUGUGCAAAGCAUUUAAAUAUGCUCCAAUUUAUAUAAGUGUAUCCAGUGGUCAGGUCACUGACAGGAAAAUAAUUUGUUUCAUCUUCAGAGUAAACAUAUGGAGUUAGAAUAGGCCUUAACAGACGUAAACCUUCUUUGUUUGGGUCUGUGACACAGCUAGGAAUGAACAGUGCACCGUCUUCUGUGCACAGAAAUUUGGGGAAGACAUAUUCCUCACUUUUUGCAUCCUUCUUGUAAGUCUUAUUGUUGAAUUUAACGGAUGUUUUAGACUUGUAUAUUUUAUGGGCAACUUGAAUCGAUUCUGUAGAAAGAAUGUGCUUCUCUUUUCUAAAUGCAAGGGUAGUAUUAUUUUCGUUGGUGAUAAACGGACUGGAUUUGUUUUGUGUUUCUUUAUUUAAAGCUUCAGUAAAGUUUCCAUGCAGGAAUUCUCCAGACGACGUUUUCCCAUUGUUGGUCACAUUGAGAACCAACUCUUCUGGGCUUGAGACUAUUAAGUUUUUUUCUAUGUGGUGACACCUGGUGCUGAAGUCUGCACAGCAGACGGAACAUGUUUUUAGACAAGAGCACGGAGACUUUUGCUGACCUUUACACUUGUCUCGACAUGAGAGAUCAAUGUCUGCUUGGGGUAAACGAGAUCUGCUUAGUCGAACAUUGUCAUGAUGGAAUCUGCUUUUUCUAGUUGAUAAUGUUCGAGCCUUUGAUACAUGUUCAUUUGUUACAUUUUGAACCGUAACAUUUUCUGUUGCUACAUUUUCAGUUGCUACAUUUUCAGCUGUAACAUUCUCCUUUCUUUCAUUUUUAGAUGCUUUAGUUUCAAUAGUUACAUUUUCAGUUCUGAGAUUUUCCACCGUAAUAUUUUCCGCUGCUACAUUUUUGGUUGCUACAUUUUCAGUUGCUACACCUAUCAUCAGUAUUUGGAAACAAAUCAAUACAUUAGUCCACAUUUGAGUUGAAUGUAUGUCCCCUGAAAUAGAAAACAAGUCUUAAUACCGAAUUUCAGUUUAAACACUUCCAGCUUACGUAGUUAUCUUAAGACAU
Biomphalaria glabrata is the source of this 6570-nucleotide long non-coding RNA. RefSeq lists it as uncharacterized. The record is from RefSeq and is a predicted model, not a curated record. The transcript has 3 exons. NCBI's taxonomy places the organism in Eukaryota, Metazoa, Mollusca, Gastropoda, Planorbidae.